This 294-nucleotide unclassified non-coding RNA is filed under the name Hevea brasiliensis (rubber tree). The record is from RNAcentral. Lineage: Eukaryota; Viridiplantae; Streptophyta; Magnoliopsida; Malpighiales; Euphorbiaceae.
AAAAGUUUUAAACUGUCUUGUAAUCAUAGUGACUAUCAGUUGGGGUAAUAACUCCUUUUUUCACGACCCAAUGACAUUUUUUAUGGUGAAGUGACAUAUACUGCACAAUACCUCACUAAUCGUCACUACAUUGUGCUCAAGUUACUGCAAAAUGUCUUAACAUUAUAGAUUCGCAGGCUUUCAUUUUAAAAAAUUCAUUCAUAAGUUCGCCUUGCCCUCCACAUGUCCAUUUUGUAAACCAAAGUGAAAUUGCCACCUGUGAAAUUUUAAGUUAUCCCUGUGGGAUAUGAUGUG